Molecule: ribosomal RNA, 439 nt
Filed under: uncultured bacterium
Lineage: Bacteria
Description: bacterial SSU rRNA
Rfam family: Bacterial small subunit ribosomal RNA
Source: RNAcentral
GCUUAACGCGAAGAACCUUACCAGCUCUUGACAUGUCUCGUAUGGGUACCGGAGACGGUAUCCCUCAGUUCGGCUGGCGAGAACACAGGUGCUGCAUGGCUGUCGUCAGCUCGUGUCGUGAGAUGUUGGGUUAAGUCCCGCAACGAGCGCAACCCUCGCCUCUAGUUGCCAUCAUUCAGUUGGGCACUCUAGAGGGACUGCCGGUGAUAAGCCGAGAGGAAGGUGGGGAUGACGUCAAGUCCUCAUGGCCCUUACGGGCUGGGCUACACACGUGCUACAAUGGCGGUGACAAUGGGCAGCGAAGGGGCGACCCGGAGCUAAUCUCAAAAAGCCGUCUCAGUUCGGAUUGUACUCUGCAACUCGAGUGCAUGAAGUUGGAAUCGCUAGUAAUCGUGGACCAGCAUGCCACGGUGAAUACGUUCCCGGGUCUUGUACACAC